Lactuca sativa (garden lettuce) is the source of this 584-nucleotide long non-coding RNA. RefSeq lists it as uncharacterized. Lineage: Eukaryota; Viridiplantae; Streptophyta; Magnoliopsida; Asterales; Asteraceae. The record is from RefSeq and is a predicted model, not a curated record.
ACAUAUUUUGAUUCAAAUGACACUGGAUACACAACCAUUGGAAUUGUUGAGGAAUUAAAGAUGAGGACGAAAGUACCCUCCACAUCACUGAGUUGCCAGUUAGAAGGUGGACACAGGAGUAUAAGGAGUUUUUGGAGGUUGCCUCAACUGCUGGAAAAGAUAAGAAACCUUUCAUAGAGUUAGAUUAUUAUACAUAAUUAUAAUAUCCUUCCUUUUCAUAUUUAUUUAUCUCAAAUUUGCAUUAUUUUUUAAUAAAUUUGACAGGGGAAUGGUUUAAGUGAGAUCACAAGUCACAGGUGUCGUACAUAUUGACUUUUGAUCACAUUCACUCUUUUGUUCAUCAGUAUACUUCCUACUUGAUAUCCUCAUUGAUGUUCUUUCUGAAGCUAAGAAAAUAAUUGAUUCAUGUAUGGCUGCAAAGGGUUGAUGAAAGCGAAUAACUCUGGAAUUAGAAGAGGAAAAGAAAGCUCAAGCUAAAAGAGAUAAGAUGCUACAAAUGCAAGUGUUGCAUUCUUCAUUUAAAUUGUUAAUAUGAAACACAGUAGAUUAGAUGAAUGAAAAUUUAUAUAUUGUAAGAAAUAGAA